UCUGGAAACUNUCUGACUUGAGUGCAGAAGGGGAGAGUGGAAUUCCAUGUGUAGCGGUGAAAUGCGUAGAUAUAUGGAGGAACACCAGUGGCGAAAGCGGCUCUCUGGUCUGUCACUGACGCUGAGGCUCGAAAGCGUGGGUAGCGAACAGGAUUAGAUACCCUGGUAGUNCACGCCGUAAACGAUGAGUGCUAGGUGUUAGGCCCUUUCCGGGGCUUAGUGCCGGAGCUAACGCAAUAAGCACUCCGCCUGGGGAGUACGACCGCAAGGUUGAAACUCAAAGGAAUUGACGGGGGCCCGCACAAGCGGUGGAGCAUGUGGUUUAAUUCGAAGCAACGCGAAGAACCUUACCAGGUCUUGACAUCCCGAUGCUAUUCUUAGAGAUAGGAAGUUACUUCGGUACAUCGGAGACAGGUGGUGCAUGGUUGUCGUCAGCUCGUGUCGUGAGAUGUUGGGUUAAGUCCCGCAACGAGCGCAACCCUUAUUGUUAGUUGCCAUCAUUAAGUUGGGCACUCUAGCGAGACUGCCGGUAAUAAACCGGAGGAAGGUGGGGAUGACGUCAAAUCAUCAUGCCCCUUAUGACCUGGGCUACACACGUGCUACAAUGGUCGGUACAACGAGUUGCGAGCCGGUGACGGCAAGCUAAUCUCUGAAAGCCGAUCUCAGUUCGGAUUGGAGGCUGCAACUCGCCUCCAUGAAGUCGGAAUCGCUAGUAAUCGCGGAUCAGCACGCCGCGGUGAAUACGUUCCCGGGCCUUGUACACACCGCCCGUCACACCACGAGAGUUUGUAACACCCGAAGUCGGUGAGGUANCCUUUUAGGG
This 823-nucleotide ribosomal RNA is filed under the name uncultured bacterium. RNAcentral's name for it is "bacterial SSU rRNA". It matches the Rfam family "Bacterial small subunit ribosomal RNA", at positions 625 to 1447 of the family's 1533-position model. The record is from RNAcentral.